Long non-coding RNA from Oncorhynchus tshawytscha (Chinook salmon), 3078 nucleotides. RefSeq lists it as uncharacterized. The transcript has 2 exons. Lineage: Eukaryota; Metazoa; Chordata; Actinopteri; Salmoniformes; Salmonidae. The record is from RefSeq and is a predicted model, not a curated record.
GUACAUUUGAGAUUCUUCAAUGUAGAAAAUAGUAAAAAUAAAGAAAAACCCUUGAAUGAGUAGGUGUCCAAACUUUUGACUAGUAUUGUAUAUGGAAAAACUCAAGCCCCUUAACCAAACCAACACAAUAACACUAAAUUAUCAUUAACAAACAAAUCAUCCACAGCAUGAAAAAAUUUACUUUACUUGAAGCCUGCAGGUAUAAUGCAUUAUGAUGAAGUAAGUUUUAAUACAUUUGUAAGACUUCUCAUAAGCAUGUUAUAGCUGUCAUUGAUAUGUUGUAUACUGUCUGUAUCAGCCAUAACAUCUCUUGUCUUUACUAUUCAUAACAUCUGUCAAAUCAUUAUUAUAAUGUUGCCAUGAACGUCUUGCGAAGGAGGGUUACCUCAUGUUCCUACCAACUGUUCCCUGACCUGGUUGUUAUUGAAAGAGCCAUUAUAAAGAAAGACAAGAAUUGCUUCUUGGAAUGCCUUCUGGAUAAACAAAGGUUAUUUUAAUCCCCCAGUCCUUCGCAGUUUCACUCAAAGCUGGCACUGAGGCUUAUGGCUUCCCACAUGGCACCCUAUUCCUUGUGUCCCUGGUCAAAAGUAGUGCACUUCAUAGGGAUUAGGGUGCCAUUUGGGACGUAACCUAUGGGCUGAGUCGUCCAUUAAGCUAACUAACUAACACACAUUCACAGGCUCCCUGCUUUCCUCUGUGCUUUAAUGUGGCAGGUAAUUGCCAGCUCCAUAAUGACCAUCUUACAGGCUGGGCCUGGAAAGGUUGCCUGCUGACUGGCUUUUGAUACACUGCAUUAAUGAAGUUUAUGACUCUUGAGCCCUGGGGAUCUGUCAAGCUCCCUUGUGCCAGGAAGAUAACUUUGCUUAGGUGUUAAAGUGACCUCGCUUUACCUGUAUGAUGAGAAUGUAUUGUAUACCAGAAAGCGCCUCUGCGCUAGAAGUGUCAGGGAAGGGGCAGCUGGGAAAUGCUUUUGCAGAAGUUUGUUUGAGCUUUGAAGAGUGGUUUUGUCAAAGACCUGUUAGCAGUAAUGAUCGAUUUUUUUUUUUCUUCUCCACUGCGUUUUCUGUCUCUUUACUUUACUGGUGCGUAAUCUGUCUCAUCCGCCAUCUUUUUAGAGUACCCACUUUAGUACUCAGAUAAUUAAAACGCUUGUCAUUACAGAGCGACUGCCCCUAUAAAUCAACUAAUCCCUUUUGAAAAUGGCCUACGUAGCAUCAAUAUGAGUCCGAAACAUUUAUUCUAGUUUUAGAAUUGACUACAAAGUGUAAUUAGGAUCAUUUGAGUAAUAAAGUCAGUCUUGUCUAAAAUGGAGUUUGGAACCUUAGUGUGUCACAUCGAGUAAAUUAAGGUUGGGUUUGGUUACAAUGUUAACAAAUCAUGCCCCCUUUUGCCAAACUCCACAUGCAAAUCGCCCCUCAGCCCGCUUCGUUCUGUUCAUUAAGUGGGGCUCCGUUGUUUCAUUGCCCCCAAUAAUUUCAAAGGAUCGCUGCCAUUUUAAACUGAAUAGCCCUGUACGGAUUGACCAUGCAAUGCAUGCUUCCAGCAGGAUGCACAGCCAACUGGUUUGCAUGCCCUGCCGAUGGAACCUAUCAUGCGGAAGUUGGUUGGAGUUUGUUGGUCCCCAGUGGUGGUGAGUAUACAGGUAGCUAGAUCACGAAUUGCUGGUUGUGCGUCUGUAGAUUUUGAUAAUCAUUGUCAGCUAUGCAAGUGAUGAUAGUGACGAGUGAUGUUAGCUAGCUAGCUACCCUAGAUAGGCUAACGUUAGCCAGCUAGGUAACUAUCUAGAUCGUUAGCCUAACUCGGUAGGUAAUUAACUUUUGCUUUGAAACACAAAAAUAUUACAAAACAAGAACCUUUUUUUAUAAUUGUGAUGUCGCCAGAUUGACUUUAGAUGCAGUAUAACUUUAGCCAGCUAACUUAAGUUUGAGGGGACCACCGUAUUUGACCUAUUUUAGCAUUGCUAGCUAUUUUUUUACAAACUUGCUAGUAACAGUAAUGGCAACAUUGCCAUCUCUAUAAUGAAUUUGACUACAUCAUAAUAUGGCAGUUUCCUAUUAAUUAUAUGUUAUCCUAUUUCCAUGCCACUAAGGGCUCUAUUCAAUCCGUGUCUUGGAAGUUCAGCUUUACAGCGUGAUUUAAAUUAGAAAGUAACGUUUCCGCUCUAGCUGAGACUGCGUUCACGGUAAACACUUCUCAAUUCAGAAAUGACCUUUUACAUUUAUAUCGUGGAAAAUGUAAUGCUUCAUCUUUACAGAUUGAAUAGAGCCCUACAUUUUUGUGUAUUAAUACGAAACAGUCACAUUAGCCUCUGAGGUGCAAUCCCAUAUCCAGGGAACAAAUACAUAUUGGAUACAGCUAUGGUGGUACUAGCUAACUCGUGUCUGACUACAACAAUGUACUAACUAGCAGCAACAAACUCAAGCCAUCCCAGGGCCAUAGCAAAACUUGUCAUAGCUUGUUUCAUAGUAUAAUGGCGUAACCGGCCUGAAUCUAAUUCAAUCUCGAGCCAGUCAGCCUACAUCUGUUAAGCAUAGAUUUAGCAUCCAAACAAGGUUACAUUAUUUCUCAAACUAUAUCUAUAAUUGAGGGUUGAUGACAGUCGUUAACCCAGUUUUUCUGUUAGACAAAGUGCAUAGUUGGGUGCCAGACUGAUCCCCUGGUCAUGAACGGAUGCCGGGACCUACCAUAUGAAGCCACUGUGGGUAUCAUAACAUAUCCAGCAAUGUGAUUGCAAUGGUUUAGUGACCUCCAACAAUAAUUUAAUUCACUGUUCACUUGCCAUUUCACAGCUUGUCAGGCAAGACCUCCGACUAAGUGUCAUGCGACACAAUUACCCUUGUGACACCACCUCCGUUGUUGCCAGACUCUCCCUCGACUCCUGAAAAGGACACGCCAUCAUGAGGCCUUUGAUAGUGACCCGAGUUACUGCCAUGAUGACAAACGGCUUCGACUACGACAGGUCCUCACAGUCAACACCACCUCAUAAGAUUGCCUGCUGCAGUUGUUUGAGAGAUGUCUAGUUUACAGCAAAACAUGCACCACAGAGAAGACCAGAAAGGGGAACCUCUUCAGCAUCUU